GUCUACAGCCAUACCACCCUGAAUGUGCCCAAUAUCUUCUUAUCUCAGAAGCUAAGCAGGGUUGGGCAUGGUUAGUAUUUGGAUGGGAAACAAGGUCUUGCUUUGUUGCCC
This 111-nucleotide ribosomal RNA is filed under the name Microcebus murinus (gray mouse lemur). The record is from RNAcentral. Lineage: Eukaryota; Metazoa; Chordata; Mammalia; Primates; Cheirogaleidae.